AUGCACGAUGCACCCCGGGCUUCUCUGAGAGUAUAUUUCACUGAAGAAGAAAGCCCCAAUGCUCGUGCUAGAACGUCGCCGUCAAGUGUUGCAGUUUAGCCUCGCUCUUCCCUACGGCUUUUCUGUGUCAAAUCGACGGCUACAUCUCCCCUAAAACCCUAAAUAAUUUUAUCAAUUUUCAGUUUCAUACGGUCCGAUCCGAUGCGCCUCGACACACCUUAAGCCUGUUUUUGAAAAAUCUCCGAAAACUGAGCUAGUCAUGGAGGCGCAAAUCCAAUGGCGGAGUCACACGUGGGGGUUUUUCUCUUCUCAUAGUAUUUCCUCUAAAAACGUCCGCUAAAUUUUCUAUUUUUUUGUGGAUUUUGAUAUCUUUUGUUGAAUUUUUGGCUUUGAUUACAAAUUAUCCGCGCUUCUGAGAGCAAUCGAUGAAGUAGAAUGUGAUAAUAAAUGGUUGAAUUUCUUGAUAUGAGCCAAUUUGUUUUGUGAUUUGUUGGUCUCUGUGUUUGAAAGGUUGAAUUUUUCGGUUAAUUGUGGCGCUGAUGACUGAAAUAUACAGCUUUAUGCCAGUUCUGCUUCAGAAAAUUCGUGAUCGAGAGAGCUGUUUCAUACUCUGAGCCCUUU
This 621-nucleotide small RNA is filed under the name Malus domestica (apple). The record is from RNAcentral. Lineage: Eukaryota; Viridiplantae; Streptophyta; Magnoliopsida; Rosales; Rosaceae.